ACAGAGGUCUCAACCGUUGUUCGGAUUCAUUGGGCGUAAAGGGUGCGUAGGCGGUCGCGCAAGUCGGAUGUGAAAUCUCAGGGCUCAACCCUGAAACUGCAUUCGAUACUGCGUGGCUGGAGUGCUGGAGGGGAGACUGGAAUUUACGGUGUAGCAGUGAAAUGCGAAGAGAUCGUAAGGAAGACCAGUGGCGAAGGCGGGUCUCUGGACAGUUCCUGACACUGAGGCACGAAGGCCAGGGGAGCAAACGGGA
Molecule: ribosomal RNA, 253 nt
Filed under: uncultured prokaryote
Description: partial 16S ribosomal RNA
Rfam family: Bacterial small subunit ribosomal RNA
Source: RNAcentral